CUACGGGAGGCAGCAGUGGGGAAUUUUCCGCAAUGGACGCAAGUCUGACGGAGCGACGCUGCGUGAAGGAUGAAGGCCCGCGGGUCGUAAACUUCUUUUCUCGAAGAAGAAGCUCUGACGGUAUUCGAGGAAUAAGCAUCGGCUAACUCUGUGCCAGCAGCCGCGGUAAGACAGAGGAUGCAAGUGUUAUUCGGAAUGAUUGGGCGUAAAGAGUCUGUAGGCGGUUUAGAAAGUCUUUUGUCAAAUACCUCGGCUCAACCGAGAUCUCGCAAAAGAAACUUCUAGACUUGAGGGAAGUAGAGGUACAGGGAAUUCCCGGUGGAGCGGUGAAAUGCGUAGAUAUCGGGAGGAACACCAAUAUGGCGAAGGCACUGUACUGGGCUUUUCCUGACGCUAAGAGACGAAAGCUAAAGGAGUGAUUAGGAUUAGAUACCCUAGUAAUUUUAGCCGUAAACGAUGGAAACUCAGUGCCGAGCAAUAUAACGAGCGGUGCUCAAGCUAACGCGUGAAGUUUCCCGCCUGGGGAUUACGCUUGCAAAAGUGAAACUCAAAGGAAUUGACGGGGACCCGCACAAGCGGUGGAGUAUGUGGUUUAAUUCGACAACACGAAGAACCUUACCAGGGUUUGAAAUCAUUUCAAAACUCCUUGAAAGAGGAGCCUCCUUCGGGAUGGAAUGACAGGUGGUGCAUGGCUGUCGUCAGCUCGUGUUGUGAAAUGUCGAGUUAAGUCUCGUAACGAGCGCAACCCAUGUCUCUUGUUGCUCACUGAGUGCUUAAGAGAGACUGCCGAUCAACAUCGGAGGAAGGUGUGGAUGAUGUCAAGUCAGCAUGCCCCUUACAUCCUGGGCUACACACGUACUACAAUGGUAGGGACAAUGAGCUGCGAUCCUGCGAAGGCUAGCCAAUCUCAAAAACCCUAUCUCAGUUCGGAUUGCACUCUGCAACUCGAGUGCAUGAAGGUGGAAUCGCUAGUAAUCGCUGGUCAGCUAUACAGCGGUGAAUACGUUCCCGGGUCUUGUACACACUGCCCGUCACACCAUGGAAGUCGACUCUUCCCUAAGUCGUUACUCGAACCCAUUGGGACGAGGAUGCCGAAGGCAGGGUUGGUGACUGGGGUGAAGUCGUAACAAGGUAGCCGUACUGGAAGGUGUGGCUGGAAUACCUCCUU
This 1168-nucleotide ribosomal RNA is filed under the name uncultured eukaryote. RNAcentral's name for it is "partial Bacterial small subunit ribosomal RNA". It matches the Rfam family "Bacterial small subunit ribosomal RNA", at positions 339 to 1532 of the family's 1533-position model. The record is from RNAcentral.